GUCAGAAAGGUCUUUGUGCCCAUCUCCUGGCCCUGCCCAGGACAGCUCUAAUAAUCCUGCCAUGUGCUGAGAGGUUUAUCUUUAUUCAGCCUGUCAGUCUUGGGCUGUGACACCUUCCCUGAGGAGCAGAACUCUCAGAUUUGCAAAUACAGACCAUGACCUCUCCAAAGGAAUGUUGUUUUGCUGACAUUUAAGCCCUAUGGUUUGCCAUGAGAGGAUUCACCUGACUGAGCAUAGACCUCUGUGUUGUAAAUGUUUAUGUUUGAGCUAGUCACCUUAGCUAAUUACAGAUGAAGGACAGAAAGAAGAGGACGUACCAAGUAUGUGGUCCCUGGAGCUCCUGGUGCAUCACGUAAGAGAGUCGGCUGGAGGGUAACCUGAUAAGCCAUCCUGCAUAUCCCUUGUAAUUGGGAUGUAAGAUAAUAAAAG
Long non-coding RNA from Cyanistes caeruleus (blue tit), 429 nucleotides. RefSeq lists it as uncharacterized. NCBI's taxonomy places the organism in Eukaryota, Metazoa, Chordata, Aves, Passeriformes, Paridae. The record is from RefSeq and is a predicted model, not a curated record.